RNAcentral lists this transfer RNA (57 nucleotides) under Litoditis aff. marina PmIII. RNAcentral describes it as "tRNA-Phe". The record is from RNAcentral. Lineage: Eukaryota; Metazoa; Nematoda; Chromadorea; Rhabditida; Rhabditidae.
ACUCUUUUAGUUUAUUAUUAAAACACAACUCUGAAGAAGUUGAGAAAGAUAGGAGUG